CAUUUGCUUUAACUUUGACUGAAACUAUCUUGGUGGCACUUGCAUCAAUGGUGUGUUCUGCCCUUGUAGAUGUCCUUGGAGAAGAUGGCCAUUGGAGUGUAGGGGGGGAACAACCUUGUCUUGCUCGAGGAGGAGGACCACCCGAUCUCGACGACGGCACGACAACAGCCUUGUCUCCCCCACCACCGCCCCUCGACCUCCUCUCAUGCUGCUGUGGAGUCUUAGAAUGGGAAUGUUAUGUACAUAAAAAAUAUUCUAUGGUCUGUGUUUGCAAAUCCAUGGUUGUUGAAUCAUGUCUGUAUAAGCAUUUGUAAAUAGCUAGCCUUUUUGGCUAA
Aegilops tauschii subsp. strangulata is the source of this 335-nucleotide non-coding RNA. Lineage: Eukaryota; Viridiplantae; Streptophyta; Magnoliopsida; Poales; Poaceae. The record is from RefSeq and is a predicted model, not a curated record.